CCGAACGCGUGGGGAGCACACACGCUGCUAUCCCAUCGUAGUCCACGCCGUAAACGCUGAGUGCUCAGUGGUAGAGGGUUUCCGCCCUUUAGUGCUGAAGUUAACGCAUUACGCACUCCGCCGGGGGAGUACGGCCGCAAGGGUGAAACGCAAAGGAAUUGCGGGGGGCCCGCCCAAGCGGGGGUGCAGGUGGUUUAAUUCGAAGCACCCCGAAGAACCUACCCAGGGCUUGAC
RNAcentral lists this ribosomal RNA (234 nucleotides) under Bacillus cereus group sp. N17. Its description in RNAcentral is "partial 16S ribosomal RNA". It matches the Rfam family "Bacterial small subunit ribosomal RNA", at positions 753 to 985 of the family's 1533-position model. Lineage: Bacteria; Bacillati; Bacillota; Bacilli; Caryophanales; Bacillaceae. The record is from RNAcentral.